RNAcentral lists this ribosomal RNA (473 nucleotides) under uncultured delta proteobacterium. RNAcentral describes it as "bacterial SSU rRNA". It matches the Rfam family "Bacterial small subunit ribosomal RNA", at positions 910 to 1382 of the family's 1533-position model. The record is from RNAcentral. Lineage: Bacteria; Deltaproteobacteria.
UUGACGGGGCCCGCACAAGCGGUGGAGCAUGUGGUUCAAUUCGACGCAACGCGAAGAACCUUACCUGGGCUUGACAUCCGCUGACCGUCCUGGAAACAGGACUCUUCCCCGCAAGGGGACGGCGAGACAGGUGCUGCAUGGCUGUCGUCAGCUCGUGUCGUGAGAUGUUGGGUUAAGUCCCGCAACGAGCGCAACCCUCAUCCUUAGUUGCCACCAUUGAGUUGGGCACUCUAAGGAAACUGCCCCGGUUAACGGGGAGGAAGGUGGGGAUGACGUCAAGUCCUCAUGGCCUUUAUGUCCAGGGCUACACACGUGCUACAAUGGGCGGUACAAAGGGUUGCAAUACCGUAAGGUGGAGCUAAUCCCAAAAAGCCGCUCUCAGUUCAGAUUAGAGUCUGCAACUCGACUUUAUGAAGGCGGAAUCGCUAGUAAUCGCGGAUCAGCAUGGCGCGGUGAAUACGUUCCCGGGCCUU